UUUAUGUGAUUUUGGUUUAUAUGCAAAAAGGUACCACAUCUGUGGCAAAGUGAAGCUGUGUGUCUGCAUUGAUCGAACGGUACCCACUUAAACCCUGUAAAGAUCCAGGUCCUCUCACUAACAUAACUACCAGCAUCACAUGGCUAAAGCAUUGAUCCCCUUUAUAACAGAAGCCCAGUAUGGUCUCAUUCUGGUCAUGAGAGCUCAUACCCAAUGACCCCAGUUCAAAUGCAGGCACAAGCAGUGCCAGGAGGGGAGCACUGGGUCUCAUUGGCUGCUGGAAGAACGAGGUGAGCAUGCUUUCAAGAGUGACUAAGGCAGCUGCAUGAUAUAAGUUUCACCUUAUCAAUCUCUUCAAGGAGAAAACAACUUUGCUUGCCAUUAAAGUCCUUCUGAAAGCUACAAUACUUGUCCUUAGAAACUAGAGGGUGGAAAUGGGUUUUCUGUAAAGUUUGUUCCAGUUUGCCACUAAGAAGCUGAAGAGAAGAAGGUGAAGAAUAGC
This is a long non-coding RNA of Neopsephotus bourkii (Bourke's parrot), 502 nucleotides long. RefSeq lists it as uncharacterized. The record is from RefSeq and is a predicted model, not a curated record. NCBI's taxonomy places the organism in Eukaryota, Metazoa, Chordata, Aves, Psittaciformes, Psittacidae. The transcript is spliced from 3 exons.